GCUUGCUUCUUUGCUGACGAGUGGCGGACGGGUGAGUAAUGUCUGGGAAACUGCCUGAUGGAGGGGGAUAACUACUGGAAACGGUAGCUAAUACCGCAUAACGUCGCAAGACCAAAGAGGGGGACCUUCGGGCCUCUUGCCAUCGGAUGUGCCCAGAUGGGAUUAGCUUGUUGGUGGGGUAACGGCUCACCUAGGCGACGAUCCCUAGCUGGUCUGAGAGGAUGACCAGCCACACUGGAACUGAGACACGGUCCAGACUCCUACGGGAGGCAGCAGUGGGGAAUAUUGCACAAUGGGCGCAAGCCUGAUGCAGCCAUGCCGCGUGUAUGAAGAAGGCCUUCGGGUUGUAAAGUACUUUCAGCGGGGAGGAAGGGAGUAAAGUUAAUACCUUUGCUCAUUGACGUUACCCGCAGAAGAAGCACCGGCUAACUCCGUGCCAGCAGCCGCGGUAAUACGGAGGGUGCAAGCGUUAAUCGGAAUUACUGGGCGUAAAGCGCACGCAGGCGGUUUGUUAAGUCAGAUGUGAAAUCCCCGGGCUCAACCUGGGAACUGCAUCUGAUACUGGCAAGCUUGAGUCUCGUAGAGGGGGGUAGAAUUCCAGGUGUAGCGGUGAAAUGCGUAGAGAUCUGGAGGAAUACCGGUGGCGAAGGCGGCCCCCUGGACGAAGACUGACGCUCAGGUGCG
RNAcentral lists this ribosomal RNA (684 nucleotides) under Escherichia sp. W8-PCAi-E14. RNAcentral's name for it is "bacterial SSU rRNA". It matches the Rfam family "Bacterial small subunit ribosomal RNA", at positions 74 to 755 of the family's 1533-position model. The record is from RNAcentral. Lineage: Bacteria; Pseudomonadati; Pseudomonadota; Gammaproteobacteria; Enterobacterales; Enterobacteriaceae.